CAAACUAGGGAUUGAUACCCUAGUAUUAUAGAAUGAUAAGUUGGGAGUACUUUAAAUGUUGGAAAAACUAAAUGAAAUGGCGGUAUUUUAAGCUUUUUAGAGGAAUUUAUUCUAUGAUUGAUAUGACUCAAAUAUCUUACUUGAUUUGGUUAGGCCAGUUUGUAUAUCGCUAUCAUUUUACAAUGUUAUUAGGCUAUUGUAGGGAGAAACUUUAUUUAGAAUGUUAGGUCAAAAUGCAGCGUAAAGUUGAGUUUGAAAUGAAUUACGUUAAUUUUUAUUAGAUUUUUAGGAAGAUUUAAAAGUAGGAUUUAAUAGUAAAUUUAAAUUAUUAUGUUAAAUGAAUAGUUCUAGGAUAUGCACACAUCGCCCGCCCCUCUCAUUCGA
RNAcentral lists this ribosomal RNA (384 nucleotides) under Carios sp. RNAcentral describes it as "partial small subunit ribosomal RNA". Lineage: Eukaryota; Metazoa; Arthropoda; Arachnida; Ixodida; Argasidae. The record is from RNAcentral.